Pogona vitticeps (central bearded dragon) is the source of this 2169-nucleotide non-coding RNA. Lineage: Eukaryota; Metazoa; Chordata; Lepidosauria; Squamata; Agamidae. The record is from RefSeq and is a predicted model, not a curated record.
UUUGAAGCCAGAUCACCCCAGUCUUAGUCCCGCAUGCUAACCCGACAGAAGACAAGCUGUGGAGGCUCAGCUUUCAUCAAGUGCCACCUAUUAACUCAAUGUUUGCCACUCUUUCAUAUGGAGAAGACUAAAAGGCUGCACAAAGAGCAGACUUGUACUGGGAACACCACCACACCCAACCAGCAUGGCCAGGGGUACAGUGGCCAACAAGGGCUGAAAAAAGAACAUACAGAAUCUCUGCAAUGUACAGUCUGUUGCCUCAUGCAGUAAUAGCUGCCACAUUUCUCCAGGGAGCACCUUGCCCUGGCUGAGCCUUAGGUUCUGCCAAGUGGGUUCUCUUUUGUGUCCACAAUUCACAGGCUGCAGUUCAAUAUAUGGAGACUGUGGUGUCCCAGUUGCAAAGCUGCCUCCCCUUUAAGUCCUACAAGUGCUGCCAUUGGCCUACUUUCAAUACCAGUUAAAACAGGAUUGUUUGCUCAAGCUUUUGCAGAUUCAGAGAACCUAGCCACUUGCCUUUGGGUUUCUGAGAUUAUUGUUGCUAUAUUGAAUUGUUUGGAACUGUUUGCACAGUUUUUAGAUUGUUUUGCAUCUGUUUAGAAUAGAUAAAUUGUAUAUCCAAUUUCUCAUGAGAGUAUAAAACGCCCCUUUCAAAAAGAAUUGUCCCGAUCCAGCAAAGCAGAAUCAGGGUGAUAGCCUUUUUCCCGAAUAUACAGGUAUCAGACACAGAUGUAUUGCCAAGGAACCUUGACCAUACAUCCUUAGGACCACAACUCCCAGAAUUCCCGAGCUAACUGGGCCUAGUAGUCAGGCUGGCUUUUUAGAAUUGUGUUUUAAAAAGGUGCACAUUCACUAUCUCAAGUACAUAUGCUUCUGGUGGAGAUAAACAUCAUGCUUUCUUGUAAUAUAGCUGGAGUAGUAUUUGCCAUCCUCACUCUGGUAUGACAUUUGUGUGGUACGGAUGUGUGAAACUGUAAUUACUAAUACUGCGGUUCUGAAAGUUUUAACUAGAAAUAUACAGUAUGUAUAGAAUUUAGUAUCCAUAUCCCACUGUUGAAAAAAAUAUUUUUGCAUGUUACCAAAAAUCUAGGCAGUCAGGAAUCAAGGACAGUUGAUUAAUAAUGCAACCACUGAGAGGACUUGUCUGUAUCCUGAUUUACAGUACUGUAUUACGGUAGAGAAUACUCAGAAGUGGUUUACCUUUCCGUUCUUCUGGAACUGUGCAGCUCUCUCAAGACCACACCGGCAGGUGCUACUCACAGGAGGCACAGUGGAGAGAAAAGGGCACAUGAGCAGAAUGCUCAGAAGGAAUCUUCAAAAUUUCUUCCAACCAAGAGUGAUUUUCCAGCAUAGAUCUUCAGAGCCACAUGAAAUAUAUGUUUGCUCAGUCAGCAACACUGGACUUCCUCUUUGUGCAGUUCUUUACACAUUGUUUGUCUUUGAAGAUCUACACUAUGUAUUCAUGUUAUUUAAUAAUUGCAGAAUGAUUCUGGAUAAACCAACAGAUGCAUGUUAUGUCACAACAAAAUAGUUAAACUUCCUUAAAAAUGUAAUAAUAUGCUUCCAUGUUGACCAAAAUUAUGUUGUUUAGUAUAGCAAAUUGCACUACAUUAAGCACAUUGACUCAAUAGGGAUUUAGUGUGCCAACCCCUCUGUAAUUUCCAUUAAGUCAAAUGAGCCUACUCUAACUGUGACUUACUGUGCUAGAUGGAGCCUGUUCCCAUUCCAUGUAAUCAAAAGAUGGUGAAAAUGUGUGUUGCAUUUUCUUUGAGACUGGUACGUUGACAGUGCCCUUAACUGCACCUGAAGGUAGCAAGUUAGGUUACAUAGAGGAUGAGCAGGCUUAUUUGGUUCGCAGCUGUCUCUUCUAACACUCUGUUAUUGCCUUUCUAGAUCUGCCACCUGAAGAGGCCACUUCUCUUUGCCUGGUUUUAAAGGUAACCUUGUUAAAGCCCAGCAUCCUUCAGUCUUGGGAAUGCUGUAUUUUAUUUUGUAACAGUUUUUUUUUUCUGUUCAAUGGGACAAACACUUCAGGUUCUCUCUUGAGAGAAAAGGCAGAGCAAAUGGAUCUGGCAACCUGAAUUUAAUGUCUUGGCCCUGUGUCAUUAAGAACUCUGGCACAGCAAAGUGGCCGAACAGAAACUACACAUGCAUUUUUCCUGAAUAGGAACU